GUGGGGAAUCUUGCGCAAUGGGCGAAAGCCUGACGCAGCAACGCCGCGUGCGGGAUGACGGCCUUCAAGGUUGUAAACCGCUUUCAGCAGGGACGAAAAUGACGGUACCUGCAGAAGAAGCCCCGGCUAACUACGUGCCAGCAGCCGCGGUAAUACGUAGGGGGCAAGCGUUGUCCGGAUUCAUUGGGCGUAAAGAGCUCGUAGGCGGUUCAGUAAGUCGGGUGUGAAAGCUCCGAGCUCAACUCGGAGAGGCCACCCGAUACUGCUGUGACUUGAGUACAGUAGGGGAGCGUGGAAUUCCUGGUGUAGCGGUGAAAUGCGCAGAUAUCAGGAGGAACACCAGCGGCGAAGGCGGCGCUCUGGGCUGUAACUGACGCUGAGGAGCGAAAGUGUGGGUAGCAAACAGGAUUAGAUACCCUAGUAGUCC
Molecule: ribosomal RNA, 427 nt
Filed under: uncultured bacterium
Lineage: Bacteria
Description: partial 16S ribosomal RNA
Rfam family: Bacterial small subunit ribosomal RNA
Source: RNAcentral